This 253-nucleotide ribosomal RNA is filed under the name uncultured bacterium. RNAcentral describes it as "partial 16S ribosomal RNA". It matches the Rfam family "Bacterial small subunit ribosomal RNA", at positions 524 to 776 of the family's 1533-position model. The record is from RNAcentral.
UACGUAGGGGGCAAGCGUUGUCCGGAAUCAUUGGGCGUAAAGAGCGUGUAGGCGGCCCGAUAAGUCCGCUGUGAAAGUCCAGGGCUCAACCCUGGGAUGCCGGUGGAUACUGUCGGGCUCGAGUCCGGAAGAGGAGUGUGGAAUUCCUGGUGUAGCGGUGAAAUGCGCAGAUAUCAGGAGGAACACCAAUGGCGAAGGCAGCUCGCUGGGACGUAACUGACGCUGAGACGCGAAAGCGUGGGGAGCAAACAGG